UGACUGAGCAAUGGUCUUCAGUCCAUGCAGGGGGUGGGGUGGGGGGAGCGCGGUGGUGAUCAAUGGGCCUAGUCCAGAAGACUCUGUCUGUAUGUCCCAUAGGGAGGUCACAAAGAAGUCCUUAUUGAGGGCAGAUAUCUGGACUCACCACAUUCAGUAACUGGGAGAGAGCUGAGAACUGGAAAUUUGGCUCACCUCUCAUGUUUACAUACAUCAUGAGUGGCAUCAAGUCAUAUCCUUGACUUUAGGAUAUCUGAACCUUUGGAAAUUGUAACUAGAAGUCUUAAAACAUUAGCUACGUAUUGAUUCUCUCACCUUCAGAAAAAUGGAAUGUCCUCUUUCAUAAGAGGUGGAGUUUUCCCAUGUUGCCCAUGCUGGUCUGGAACUCCUGAGCACAGAAACAACUGAAGAACAGCAGAAUACAACUAUUCGUUCCCUAGGGCGCCUAAAUUUCCCAGUGUUCCUUUAGAAUCUGAUGAGAUGAGGUUUAGAUCUGAUGACCAUCAAAAGUAAUUGGAUUCUUUACAUUGAUUAUAUUAUAGAAUUGUUUUCAGAAAAGAUAGUCAAGAAAUUUUAGGAAAUGUAAUAUAUAACUAAUUGGUAUAGCCUAUAUGCUGUACCAAUAGGAUAUAUAAUAAGAUAUAUAAGCAACGGUUCAUUAAACCAUCUAAAACUUAGGACUCAGGCCAAUCUUUUAAAUCAUUAGGGAUAUUCUCGGCAUGGACCUCAAGAGAUAGAAAA
This 741-nucleotide long non-coding RNA is filed under the name Homo sapiens (human). Its description in RNAcentral is "HSALNT0373910". The record is from RNAcentral. Lineage: Eukaryota; Metazoa; Chordata; Mammalia; Primates; Hominidae.